GCUAUAAGAAAAAAUUAUAAAUAGUGACGCCUGCUCAAUGAUUGAACAAUAACCCUUAACAACAAUUCAAUAGCUGCGGUAAUACUUAACCGUACAAAGGUAGCACAACAAAUAGCCUGAUAAUUCCAGGAUCGCAUGAAGGCAAAACGAAACUUUAACUGUCUCAAGAAUCUAAAAAAGAAAAUAGAAUGUGUGUGAAAAUCCACACUUAAGCGGCAAGACGACAAGACCCUAAAAACUUUACUAAAAAUCUUAAAUAUACCACUAAUAAACUAUUUAAAUAUAAUAAUAGAAUAAACUUAAGAUUUAAGUUUCGUUGGGGCAACGAUCUCAAAAACAAUAAAUAAGAUUAAUACAAUCCUCCAAUCCACAAACCAAUAAGUUAAACAUAGAUAAGACCCAUUAAACACAUACAAUUAAUGAACAUAAAAUAAAAGCUCUUUAGGGAUAACAGCGUAAUAUUGUUCACAAAGAUCCACUCAAACAAUGUUUGCGACCUCGAUGUUGAAUUGCUAUACCCCCAAUGUAGACACAUUAAAAGGUUGGACUGUCGUUCCAUUAAAAUAGC
Molecule: ribosomal RNA, 568 nt
Filed under: Heterochone calyx
Lineage: Eukaryota; Metazoa; Porifera; Hexactinellida; Sceptrulophora; Aphrocallistidae
Description: partial 16S ribosomal RNA
Rfam family: Bacterial large subunit ribosomal RNA
Source: RNAcentral